RNAcentral lists this long non-coding RNA (873 nucleotides) under Physcomitrium patens. RNAcentral describes it as "long non-coding RNA (PPAT_LNC002137)". The record is from RNAcentral. Lineage: Eukaryota; Viridiplantae; Streptophyta; Bryopsida; Funariales; Funariaceae.
GAGAGCACCGUCAUACUAGUUUGGUGUGACCACCGAUUUCAUUUCUGCUAGAUUUGGCUAACCUUGCUUGAAAUCUUUCUUCUCGAAGAUUGCAGAAGCUCACAAAUCCUAUUAUUUCAGGGACUUCCAAUUCGAUUAGGUUUCGAAGAGGAGAAUGGGAGAAGACAUUUGAGGUUACGAAAAGAACCAUUCGUAUUAUCUGAUUGAAUUUUAGACAAAGCACCUGUCAGGGUUUCAAUGACAUUUGUUGCAUAAGAGCAGGUGAUUGACAACCGGAAAUUUAAUAUGUAUAUGUAUAUGUAAAAAUAUAUGUGUGUGUGUGUGUGUGUGUGUUCCGAAACUAAGCCAGUUAGCGACGAACAUGGACAACAAGAAUAGGAUCAAAGCACACCCCUUCGCCCUCCCAGCCUCCAAAGGAUCAUUCCUCGACUUUUGUUUUCCCGGCGCGGCCAUCGGACGGAGCUACUACAGUACCGUAUCAGCGCUGGUCUGUAUUGCGGAGUUCGUUAGAAAAAGUAUCACUGGGAAUCACUAUAGUCUUAGGGGAUCACUGGAGCUCCAAAUGCUAUUUCGGUUGCGUUACCGCUCUCCUCUCAAGCAAGCUCCUCUGGCCCUCCCAGGGCCGCUACAUUAUUUCGGGCAAGAUUUGGCUUGCUUUGCGGCACAACGAAACCGUGGGUUUGUUCUGGGAUGCCUCCGGUUUUUUUUUUUUUUUUUUUUUUUUUUCCCCCCCUAAACCCAGUCCUGCGCUUGCAAACAUAGUCAAAACCUUCUACGUAGUGAGCCUCGUACCAUUGUGCUUAGAUGCUGAAAAACAGUUUGUAUUUCCCGUUUUAACAGCACUGCACUGAAUUAGUCUCCACUUGGGUCUCU